RNAcentral lists this ribosomal RNA (497 nucleotides) under uncultured bacterium. Its description in RNAcentral is "partial 16S ribosomal RNA". It matches the Rfam family "Bacterial small subunit ribosomal RNA", at positions 28 to 507 of the family's 1533-position model. The record is from RNAcentral.
GAUGAACGCUGGCGGCGUGCCUAAUACAUGCAAGUCGAGCGAACGGACGAGAAGCUUGCUUUUCUGAUGUUAGCGGCGGACGGGUGAGUAACACGUGGAUAACCUACCUAUAAGACUGGGAUAACUUCGGGAAACCGGAGCUAAUACCGGAUAAUAUUUUGAACCGCAUGGUUCAAAAGUGAAAGACGGUCUUGCUGUCACUUAUAGAUGGAUCCGCGCUGCAUUAGCUAGUUGGUAAGGUAACGGCUUACCAAGGCAACGAUGCAUAGCCGACCUGAGAGGGUGAUCGGCCACACUGGAACUGAGACACGGUCCAGGCUCCUACGGGAGGCAGCAGUAGGGAAUCUUCCGCAGUGGGCGAAAGCCUGACGGAGCAACGCCGCGUGAGUGAUGAAGGUCUUCGGAUCGUAAAACUCUGUUAUUAGGGAAGAACAUAUGUGUAAGUAACUGUGCACAUCUUGACGGUACCUAAUCAGAAAGCCACGGCUAACUACGUG